CCUACGGGUGGCUGCAGUGGGGAAUAUUGGGCAAUGGGCGCAAGCCUGACCCAGCAACGCCGCGUGAAGGAAGAAGGCUUUCGGGUGGUAAACUUCUGUUAAGAGGGAAGAGCAGAAGACGGUACAUCUGGAAUAAGCCAAGGCUACCUACGUGCCAGCAGCCGCGGUAAUACGUAGGUGGCAAGCGUGGUCCGGAUGUACUGGGUGUACAGGGCGUGCAGCCGGGAAGACAAGUCAGAUGUGAAAUCCCGCGGCUCAACCGCGGAACGGCAUUUGAAACUGUUUUUCUUGAGUACCGGAGAGGUCAUCGGACUUCCUUGUGUAGCGGUGAAAUUCGUAGAUAUCA
RNAcentral lists this ribosomal RNA (346 nucleotides) under uncultured bacterium. RNAcentral describes it as "partial 16S ribosomal RNA". It matches the Rfam family "Bacterial small subunit ribosomal RNA", at positions 338 to 699 of the family's 1533-position model. The record is from RNAcentral.